GUGCCAGCAGCCGCGGUAAUACAGAGGUCCCGAGCGUUGUUCGGAUUCACUGGGCGUAAAGGGUGCGUAGGUGGUCGGGUAAGUCUGAGGUGAAAUCUCCGAGCCCAACUCGGAAACUGCCUUGGAUACUAUUCGGCUAGAGGGUUGGAGGGGGGACUGGAAUUCUCGGUGUAGCAGUGAAAUGCGUAGAUAUCGAGAGGAACACCAGUGGCGAAGGCGAGUCCCUGGACAACUCCUGACACUGAGGCACGAAAGCUAGGGGAGCAAACAGGAUUAGAUACCCGGGUAGUCC
Molecule: ribosomal RNA, 292 nt
Filed under: uncultured bacterium
Lineage: Bacteria
Description: partial 16S ribosomal RNA
Rfam family: Bacterial small subunit ribosomal RNA
Source: RNAcentral